Molecule: non-coding RNA, 2495 nt
Organism: Monodelphis domestica (gray short-tailed opossum)
Lineage: Eukaryota; Metazoa; Chordata; Mammalia; Didelphimorphia; Didelphidae
Source: RefSeq, a predicted model, not a curated record
AAGAAAUAUAUAAUGACAAAUAGUCCUUGUAAUUAGAGGGAAAAGGAAGAAUAUCCCUUAAAUAAAGGAGAAUAACCUACUUUCCCCCCACUCUGGUUCUAGUUAUAAUUGGAAGAAUAUUGGAUUUGGAGUCAAGGAACUUGAGGUUGAAUUCUGGGUCUACUGUUUACUCCCUGUCUGAACAUGGGGAAACCCCUUAAAUCUUUCUAGCCUUGGUUUUCUCAUCUGUUUAAAAAAAACAACAACAACAAACCAAACUGGAUUAGAUGAUUCCUGAAUUUCUGACUAGCUUGAAACCUUGUAGAUAGAUUCUGCUCCUUCCCCACCGCCUCCAAAGAAACUGAGAGCCCUCCACCCCCGCAUAUCUCGUUCUACACCUUUAGCCUUUCUCUUGAACCCGGACUUGUAACCUUUAGUUCCGGGUCAUGUUCCUAGGGCUUUUCACCCGUGACCUGUUUGGAGUGUUCAUGUGACAACCAGCUACACAUCGAGAGUGGGGACGAGCUGGGCGGAGGAGCGGAUUCCAUCUUCUACACAAAACCCUAUGGAGACCUAGGACAUUCUGAGUUUAAGGUUACUGUGAAUCAGAAGUGAAGUACAGCAGGAGUAGAAGUCAUUUACUAUGCUAUACCGUUUAGAGGUCUAAGAGAAAAUGGAAUCCCAAGCACAGUUCCAGUGCCUAUUAAAGGAUUGUUAGGAAAGGUUUGGGAUAAUCACUUGGAAAGAAGAAGGAAUGAUGAAGGAUGAACUUAAGAACAAGGCUUCCAAGUCCUGGGGAUGGCAAGACAGCACCUGUUACUAACAACCAUGAGAACUGCACCAACUUAUCUUUCUAGGUUUUAUGUGGGGCAUAUCUAGGACUGCUUGUAUCUGGCAGGCAAAAUUGGGGACAAACUAGCAGUUGUUUGUCUUGAAAGGAGGGAAAAUAAUGAGGUGGUUCAGAUUUCUUUGUGUUAAAAAAUAUGUCUCAAUGCAGGGUCUACUGUUUCUGGGUUUCUUGUAUGUCUUUAUAUUCUCUAGCAUUUGUCUCUAGGAAGGUCUUGCUGAGCUCAUUGCAAAAUAUUUCCCACCCUCUUCCCUUCCCAACUACCCUCUUCCCCACCUACAACUCCACCCCAUUUAAUGAAAGACAAAAAAGCAAUUUAGAAAAACCAAUCAGUAUAUAAAAUAUUUCACACACAUAAAUCACUCACUUCUUUAGUUAAGGGAAUGAGAUGUAUUUUUUCAAUACUCCUUGGGGCCAUGUUCAGUCAUUAUAAUUAUAUAGUAUGCAGUUUAUUAAUUAUCUUUGUUCUUUUUAUAUUGUUGCAAUUUGAAUAUUGAUUUUCUAAUUCUGCUCACUUUAUUCUGUAUCAGUUCAUUUAAUUCCUUUGUCCUCUCUUCUCUUCAUUAUGUUUUCCUAUUUUCAGAGUGGCCUCCCCACCAUUUUGCCCACUCAUUCCCAUGCUUUUCUUAAUAUUUCAUCAUUUUUUUACACUGUAACAAUAUUUCAUUAUAUUAAUUUAUUACAUUCUUUUCACCAUUCCUCAACUGAUGGGCUUCUACUUUGUUUCCAAAUCCUUGCCACUACAAAAAAAUCUUGCUAUGACUAUUUUGAUGUCAAUGGGUUACUUCUCUCAAUCUUUGACUUCCUUGAGGUAUAUGUAUAGCAGUGGGAUCUACCCAUCUAAUGUUAAAGGACCUAAAAGAAAAUCUCCAGUAUUUUGGAUGGACCUGUGAAGGUUUACAUGAGAACAUGGAUAAAAGCUUGUGGAGCAUAGCAGUCCUAUAUCAUUUCUCUAACUACUAAUAUGGCAGACAUAUACCACUCAUCCUGUGCUCCUGCCUUGUCCAAAGAUACUUUAGGUAAGUUAUCUUAGGGAAUAAGAUACCAUCUGUUAGAAUCAUCCCAUUUCUUAUGGUUCUAUGUUAUUAGAAUUGCCUAAAUUUUGAUGAGAAACAUCAAUAUUAACCUGAUAAAACAAUAACACAUGCCCUGCAAGUCAACUUGUAAAUGUUCUUGCACCAGAAAGGUUCAGAAGAGCCCUGGGUGAACCCUAAGUACCUGUAGAUAACUCCAAGUCUGUCUUCUUCCACUUUUGUCAAAUUCAUGUCCUGGUUUACAUUCCAAACUUUUCUUGCUAGGCAGUAGUUUCUCCCUUGUUACUCAAUCCUAAAGACCCCCGCCUCUAUUUUUAAAGAAUAUUCUAAAACCUAUAAUCUUCUCCUUCUCCCUGGCCUUGGUUUUCUUUAAUUUUUUUUAAACCCUUACCUUCCAUUUUGGAAUCAAUACUACAUAUUGGUUCCAAGGUAGAAGAGUGGUAAGGGCUAGGCAAUGGGGGUUAAGUGACUUGCCCAGAGUCACACAGCUAGGAAGUGUCUGAGGCCAAAUUUGAACCUAGGACCUCCCAUCUCCAGGUCUGGCUCUCAAUCUACUGAGCCACCCUAAUCCUUUCUUUUCUUCUAACCCUGGAACAUAUCUUUGUUUUCUCAAUAGAAAUAAACAAUUUUGCUGA